This 460-nucleotide ribosomal RNA is filed under the name uncultured bacterium. RNAcentral describes it as "partial 16S ribosomal RNA". It matches the Rfam family "Bacterial small subunit ribosomal RNA", at positions 338 to 795 of the family's 1533-position model. The record is from RNAcentral.
CCUACGGGUGGCAGCAGUGAGGAAUAUUGGUCAAUGGGCGCGAGCCUGAACCAGCCAAGUAGCGUGAAGGAUGACUGCCCUACGGGUUGUAAACUUCGUUUAUAAAGGAAUAAAGUGAGGCACGUGUGCCUUUUCGUAUGUACGUUAUGAAUAAGGAUCGGCUAAGUCCGUGCCAGCCGCCGCGGUAAUACGGAGGAUCCGAGCGUUAUCCGGCUUUAUUGGGUUUAAAGGGAGCGUAGAUGGGUUGUUAAGUCAGUUGUGAAAGUUUGCGGCUCAACCGUAAAAUUGCAAUUGAUACUGGCAGCCUUGAGUACAGUUGAGGUAGGCGGAAUUCGUGGUGUAGCGGUGAAAUACUCAGAGAUCACGAAGAACUCCGAUUGCGAAGGCAGCUUACUAAACUGCCACUGACAUUGAUGCUCGAAAGUGUGGGUAUCAAACAGGAUUAGAUACCCGAGUAGUC